Molecule: small nuclear RNA, 325 nt
Filed under: Panthera pardus (leopard)
Lineage: Eukaryota; Metazoa; Chordata; Mammalia; Carnivora; Felidae
Description: 7SK RNA (ENSPPRG00000018931.1)
Rfam family: 7SK RNA
About the family: 7SK was discovered as an abundant small nuclear RNA in the mid-70s but a possible function has only recently been suggested. Two independent studies have found that 7SK RNA binds the CDK9/cyclin T complex (known as elongation factor P-TEFb).
Source: RNAcentral
GGAGGUGAGGGUGAUCCGGCUGCAACAUUUAUCACGUCAUUGAUCGCCAGGGUUGAUUCUGCCGAUCUGGUUGGCUAGGCGGGUGUCCCCUUCCUCACCGGUUCAUAUGUGUUCCUCCCAAAGCCGUGUACUCGACUAAAGAGCACGACCGUCGCCAACAGAGGAGGCCCAGUCUUAGGUCAGAGGUAUAUGAGUAGCUGCUGUUCCUUGCUAGACCCUCCAGACAAGCUCUCCAGGUGCUUUUGCCGAAGAAGGUAGGGAAGCCAAGCUUUCAAGACUCCAAACACGUCCAAGUGAAGCGCUACAGGUGGCAGUCUGCCUUCUU